GCUCAGGAUGAACGCUGGCGGCGUGCUUAACACAUGCAAGUCGAACGAUGAUGCCAGCUUGCUGGUGGAUUAGUGGCGAACGGGUGAGUAACACGUGAGUAACCUGCCCUUGACUCUGGGAUAAGCCUGGGAAACUGGGUCUAAUACCGGAUAUGACCUUCCAUCGCAUGGUGGUUGGUGGAAAGCUUUUGUGGUUUUGGAUGGACUCGCGGCCUAUCAGCUUGUUGGUGGGGUAAUGGCCUACCAAGGCGACGACGGGUAGCCGGCCUGAGAGGGUGACCGGCCACACUGGGACUGAGACACGGCCCAGACUCCUACGGGAGGCAGCAGUGGGGAAUAUUGCACAAUGGGCGCAAGCCUGAUGCAGCGACGCCGCGUGAGGGAUGACGGCCUUCGGGUUGUAAACCUCUUUCAGUAGGGAAGAAGCGUAAGUGACGGUACCUGCAGAAGAAGCGCCGGCUAACUACGUGCCAGCAGCCGCGGUAAUACGUAGGGCGCAAGCGUUAUCCGGAAUUAUUGGGCGUAAAGAGCUCGUAGGCGGUUUGUCGCGUCUGCCGUGAAAGUCCGGGGCUCAACUCCGGAUCUGCGGUGGGUACGGGCAGACUAGAGUGAUGUAGGGGAGACUGGAAUUCCUGGUGUAGCGGUGAAAUGCGCAGAUAUCAGGAGGAACACCGAUGGCGAA
This 682-nucleotide ribosomal RNA is filed under the name Arthrobacter sp. TN161B. RNAcentral's name for it is "bacterial SSU rRNA". It matches the Rfam family "Bacterial small subunit ribosomal RNA", at positions 22 to 719 of the family's 1533-position model. Lineage: Bacteria; Bacillati; Actinomycetota; Actinomycetes; Micrococcales; Micrococcaceae. The record is from RNAcentral.